This 755-nucleotide ribosomal RNA is filed under the name uncultured bacterium. Its description in RNAcentral is "bacterial SSU rRNA". It matches the Rfam family "Bacterial small subunit ribosomal RNA", at positions 68 to 856 of the family's 1533-position model. The record is from RNAcentral.
GAGAAAGUGGAGCAAUCCACGAGUAAAGUGGCGUACGGGUGAGUAACACGUGGAUCAUCUACCUCUUGGUGGGGAAUAACCCUGGGAAACCGGGGCUAAUACCGCAUAAGCCUGCGAAGGGAAAGCAGCAAUGCGCCGAGAGAGGAGUCCGCGGCCGAUUAGCUAGUUGGUAGGGUAAUGGCCUACCAAGGCAAUGAUCGGUAGCCGGCCUGAGAGGGCACACGGCCACACUGGCACUGAAACACGGGCCAGACUCCUACGGGAGGCAGCAGUGGGGAAUCUUGCACAAUGGAGGAAACUCUGAUGCAGCGACGCCGCGUGAGCGAUGAAGCCCUUCGGGGUGUAAAGCUCUUUCGACGGGAACGAUAAUGACGGUACCCGGAGAAGAAGCUGCGGCUAACUACGUGCCAGCAGCCGCGGUAAUACGUAGGCAGCAAGCGUUGUUCGGAAUUACUGGGCGUAAAGAGUGUGUAGGCGGUUCUCUAUGUUCGGUGUGAAAUCUCCCGGCUUAACUGGGAGGGUGCGCCGAAAACUGGAGGGCUUGAGUAUGGGAGAGGAAAGCGGAAUUCCUGGUGUAGUGGUGAAAUGCGUAGAUAUCAGGAGGAACACCUGCGGUGUAGACGGCUUUCUGGACCAUCACUGACGCUGAGACACGAAAGCGUGGGUAGCAAACAGGAUUAGAUACCCUGGUAGUCCACGCCCUAAACGAUGCAUACUUGGUGUGAGCCGUUCAUUCGGUUCGUGCCGGAGCUAAC